GCGCUGCUGAGGUGUCCUAUAACAGGAGGAAACGGCUGUCCAGUGC
Molecule: non-coding RNA, 46 nt
Organism: Schistosoma margrebowiei
Lineage: Eukaryota; Metazoa; Platyhelminthes; Trematoda; Strigeidida; Schistosomatidae
Source: Rfam